Molecule: ribosomal RNA, 253 nt
Filed under: uncultured bacterium
Lineage: Bacteria
Description: partial 16S ribosomal RNA
Rfam family: Bacterial small subunit ribosomal RNA
Source: RNAcentral
CACGUAGGGCGCAAGCGUUGUCCGGAAUUAUUGGGCGUAAAGAGCUCGUAGGCGGUCUGUUGCGUCCGCUGUGAAAACUCGGGGCUUAACCCCGAGCCUGCAGUGGAUACGGGCAGACUAGAGGUAGGUAGGGGAGAAUGGAAUUCCUAGUGUAGAGGUGAAAUUCGUAGAUAUUAGGAAGAACACCAGUGGCGAAGGCGGCUCACUGGAUCGGUACUGACGCUGAGGUGCGAAAGCGUGGGGAGCAAACAGG